UUAUACUAUUAGGGCAAGCGUAUUAAAUUUAUAAUAUUAGUUUACUUUUCAUGAAAAAGAAAUAAAAUAGAUAGGUGAAAUUUCUAAGUUGGAUAAUUCUUGAAGUAAAUUUUAAAAAUCUUUCAAAGAAACUAGGAUUAGAUACCCUAUUAUUAAGAUAUUUGUAAUUAGGUAGUAAAGAUUACUCUGAAACCUAAAGAACUUGGCGGUGUUUUAAAUAAUUGGAGGAACCUGUUAUUUAAUUGAAAAUCCACAACACAUCUUACCUAAUUUUUGUUUGUAUAUCGUUGUUUAGACAGUAUUUUUCAAUAUGGUCAAUAAUAAUACAUUCUUGAAAAAUCAAAUCAAGGUGCAGCAUAAUGAGGUUAUAAUGGGUUACAUUAUGAUUUACAUAAACGGAAAAAACUGGAAGAUCUAUUUGAAGGUGGAUUCAAAAGUAAUCAAAUAAUAA
Molecule: ribosomal RNA, 451 nt
Filed under: Opistophthalmus glabrifrons
Lineage: Eukaryota; Metazoa; Arthropoda; Arachnida; Scorpiones; Scorpionidae
Description: partial 12S ribosomal RNA
Source: RNAcentral